Molecule: long non-coding RNA, 799 nt
Filed under: Malus domestica (apple)
Lineage: Eukaryota; Viridiplantae; Streptophyta; Magnoliopsida; Rosales; Rosaceae
Description: long non-coding RNA (MDOM_LNC005640)
Source: RNAcentral
AUUCCCAUGGUUCAAACAAAUUUGAAACGGCCUUUCACAUAGCUCAAUUAUUUUAGGCUUAGGUUCAUAAUCACCCUUUAAUUAAUUAACACUUUAACUAAUUAAAUUGAAUGCAACAUUUUCAUUUGGUUUUGUAUCCAUAAAAUUGAUUUAAAUGGAGCUAAACAAAAUGAAAAUCCAAUUCUCAUUUAAAGAGACAAAACAAUUUUGUUCUCAACCUAAUUUGGGCCAUCAUGCAAUAACCACAACUUUUGGGCUAUCUUGCAAUUAACCUCAACUUUUGGGCUAUAUUGCAAAACUUUUGGGGUCACUUUGUAAAGACACAAAAGUCCACUACUUCAUGUAAUUACAAUAGAACCCAAAAUUUAAUCAAUGCAAAAACUUCAUUAAAGGAUCAAAACAAUUUGUCCUUUAGCGUUUUUGGACCUUAACGUAAAAACGUAAACUUUUGGGCCAAAGUGCAAAUACACAAAAGUAUCAAAACUUUAUGUAAUUGCAUAAAAGGCCUCAAAAGUACUCCCACUUGAGGGAGGGCCGGUUUUAGAGAGGGGAAGGGAGUGGAGAUAAGUCCACAAAAUUUUAGAAAUUUUUUUCAACAAUUUCAUAAAGCCUUGCAAGUGGAAUUUGUGACAUAAAUUCAUGCAAGUGGAAUGUGACUUAAAGUCAUGCAAGUGAUGUGUGUGUAAGAGAAGUACUUCUUACACACCUAUCACCAUUUCCAUCACCUUACACAAUUUCUAUCACAUUAAAACAUUUGAUAAAACACAAAACAAAGACUUUAUGAAAUAAAUCAAAACUU